RNAcentral lists this ribosomal RNA (963 nucleotides) under metagenome. RNAcentral describes it as "bacterial LSU rRNA". It matches the Rfam family "Archaeal large subunit ribosomal RNA", at positions 2024 to 2987 of the family's 2987-position model. The record is from RNAcentral.
CCUCUUAAGGUAGCGUAGUACCUUGCCGCUUCAGUAGCGGCUUGCAUGAAUGGAUUAACGAGAGCGUCACUGUCCCAACGUUGGGCCCGGUGAACCGUACGUUCCAGUGCGGAGUCUGGAGACCCCCAGGGGGAAGCGAAGACCCUAUGGAGCUUUACUGCAGGCUGUCGCUGGGACACGGUCGCUAGUGUGCAGGAUAGGUAGGAGUCAUUACAGAGGUGCGUGCGCCAGCACGUCGCCCAGACAGCCCUGAAAUACUACCCACUAGUGACUGUGACCCUCACUCCGGGAGGAGGACACCGGUAGCCGGGCAGUUUGGCUGGGGCGGCACGCGCUUGAAAAGAUAUCGAGCGCGCCCCAAGAUCACCUCAGCCGGGACAGAGAUCCGGCGAAGAGUGCAAGAGCAAAAGGUGGUCUGACAGUGUCCUACACAGCGAGGGACGCUGACGCGAAAGCGUGGUCUAGCGAACCAAUGAGGCUCCUCAAUGGGGCCCAUUGAUGACAGAAAAGCUACCCUAGGGAUAACAGAGUCGUCACCCGCAAGAGCUCAUAUCGACCGGGUGGCUUGCUACCUCGAUGUCGGUUCCCUCCAUCCUGCCCGUGCAGAAGCGGGCAAGGGUGAGGUUGUUCGCCUAUUAAAGGAGGUCGUGAGCUGGGUUUAGACCGUCGUGAGACAGGUCGGCUGCUAUCUACUGGGGGUGUCAUGGUACCUGACGGGAACGAUCGUAUAGUACGAGAGGAACUACGAUCGGCUGCCACUGGUGUACCGGUCGUCCGACAGGGCGAGUGCCGGGCAGCUACGCAGCAUGGGGUAAAGGCUGAAAGCAUCUAAGCCUGAAACCCUCCUGGAAAAGAGGUACCGCUAAGACCACCCGUAUAAGACGGGUUCGAUAGACUCGGGGUGUGCGCGCCAAGGUAACGAGGCGUUCAGCCCGCGAGCACUAACAGGUCAAAGUCACCUUA